Molecule: long non-coding RNA, 212 nt
Filed under: Lathyrus oleraceus (garden pea)
Lineage: Eukaryota; Viridiplantae; Streptophyta; Magnoliopsida; Fabales; Fabaceae
Description: Pisum sativum (pea) long non-coding RNA (PSAT_LNC010971)
Source: RNAcentral
UGUUGAUAUAACUGACCAUGGCACAUGGCAGUUAAUCGUUUCUCUUCAAUCAAAUUCAGUUGGUCAUAACGACUCUGAAUCCAUUCAGCAUCAGUCAACUAGGGACUUGAGGGUAUAAUUUUUCCUUUUUCUUUUGAAAAAAUUUUGAAAUUUUUUUCCUGAUUUUUGAUUUUUUCAUCUUUUUCUCCCUCUUUUUUUUUUUACAUUACAUU